RNAcentral lists this long non-coding RNA (208 nucleotides) under Sorghum bicolor (sorghum). RNAcentral's name for it is "long non-coding RNA (SBIC_LNC014658)". The record is from RNAcentral. Lineage: Eukaryota; Viridiplantae; Streptophyta; Magnoliopsida; Poales; Poaceae.
AACCUGCGGCACGCAUGGACGGAGGCAGGUAGCGUCGUCCCACAGAUCGGGGGGGUCGGAGUCUAAGGCAUGCGUCGGAGAGGGAGUGGUCGCAGCCCAGAGUCAGUGUGCAGGGAUGGGGAGCCGGAUGCGGAGAUGCUCCGCUGUAACUUGAGCUCGUCGCCUUCGUCGUGGUCGGUGGGCAGCGGCAGCGUCAGCUCUACAAACC